This 448-nucleotide ribosomal RNA is filed under the name uncultured bacterium. Its description in RNAcentral is "bacterial SSU rRNA". It matches the Rfam family "Bacterial small subunit ribosomal RNA", at positions 355 to 825 of the family's 1533-position model. The record is from RNAcentral.
UCGGGAAUUUUGGGCAAUGGGCGAAAGCCUGACCCAGCAACGCCGCGUGAAGGAUGAAGUCUUUCGGGAUGUAAACUUCGUAAAAAUAGGAAGAAUAAAUGACGGUACUAUUUGUAAGGUCCGGCUAACUACGUGCCAGCAGCCGCGGUAAUACGUAGGGACCAAGCGUUGUUCGGAUUUACUGGGCGUAAAGGGCGCGUAGGCGGCAAUUCAAGUCAUCUGUGAAAUCUCCGGGCUUAACUCGGAACGGUCAGAUGAUACUGCUUUGCUAGAGUGCAGAAGGGGCAAUCGGAAUUCUUGGUGUAGCGGUGAAAUGCGUAGAUAUCAAGAGGAACACCUGAGGUGAAGACGGGUUGCUGGGCUGACACUGACGCUGAGGCGCGAAAGCCAGGGGAGCAAACGGGGAUUAGAUACCCCAGUAGUCCCUGAGCGGGCUGGCAAGGCGCAU